AACGAACGCUGGCGGCGUGCCUAACACAUGCAAGUCGGACGAGAAAGUUUCCUUCGGGAAGCGAGUAAAGUGGCGCACGGGUGAGUAACACGUAGACAACCUGCCUUCCAGUCCGGGACAACCUUUCGAAAGAAGGGCUAAUACCGGAUAACACUUUGGGCCGCAUGGCCUGGGGUUGAAAGAUUUAUCGCUGGAAGAGGGGUCUGCGGGACAUUAGCUAGUU
RNAcentral lists this ribosomal RNA (223 nucleotides) under uncultured bacterium. RNAcentral's name for it is "partial 16S ribosomal RNA". It matches the Rfam family "Bacterial small subunit ribosomal RNA", at positions 29 to 250 of the family's 1533-position model. The record is from RNAcentral.